RNAcentral lists this ribosomal RNA (2296 nucleotides) under Hemityphis tenuimanus. Its description in RNAcentral is "partial 18S ribosomal RNA". It matches the Rfam family "Eukaryotic small subunit ribosomal RNA". Lineage: Eukaryota; Metazoa; Arthropoda; Malacostraca; Amphipoda; Platyscelidae. The record is from RNAcentral.
CCUGCCAGUGUCUAUAUGCUUGUUUCAAAGACUAAGCCAUGCAUGUCUAAGUACAGCUCGGCGGAGCAAUCUGCCGGGCGAAACCGCGGACGGCUCAUUAAAUCAGUCGUGGUCUAAAUGGGCUAAAGUUUCCUGUUGGAUAACUGUGGAAAAUCCAGAGCUAAUACAUGCUACUUACGAGUCCUGAGCUAAAGUCCUUUUUUCGUUUACGGGAACUGGGUGACUAACUCGGGAUGCUUUUAUUAGACCGAGGCGCGCGCAUGCUCGGUUUAGUCUUUCGCAGAUUUCGGUUUGUGAUUGACGGCCGUUUGUGUGUCGUCGUGUAAGCGCUUAAUGGUGAACCCUGGAUAACACUUGAUGAGCGUGCCUUUUCGGCACGCCGCCUACUUACGAGUGACUGCCCUAUCAGCUAGUAACGUAUGUUAUACGCGAACGCUGGCGGUAACGGGUAACGGGGAAUCAGAGUUCGAUUCCGGAGAGGCAGCCUGAGAAACGGCUACCACGUCUAAGGACGGCAGCAGGCACGCAAAUUACCCAAUCCCAGCACAUGGGGGAGGUAGUGACGAUACUUACUGAUGCGGGUCGUUCUUCGGAACAUUCGCAAUCGGAAUGGCUAUUUUCUAAACACCCUAUCGAGAACCUACUGGAGGGCAAGCCUGGUGCCAGCAGCCGCGGUAAUUCCAGCUCCAGUGGCGUAUGCCAAUGUUGCUGCGGUUAAAAGGCUCGCAGUUGAAUGUCAGUUAUAAUACGCGAUGAGAUGCCGGGACGUUGUUCGUGCGGUAACCUCGUGUUUCGUCCGUUCCGUCCCCUGAGCGCAUUUCUCGCAAUCUAACAAUAAUUAUCAAGCACGCCGCAUGUGUUCAUUUCGCCUUUUGUUCGCAAUUGGUGUGGUCCCUGUGGCAGUUUGGUAGUUGACACCUUGAGUAAAUCAGAGUGCUUAACGCAGUCGUUUAAAUACCGGUGGCUUGUCGUGAUUCGUUGCGUUCAAGUUUGCCAGUGGCGGACGUAAGUCCGUUUAGACAUUGUCUUUGCUUUGCAUGGUACGUCGAAAGACGCCGUGUAAGUUGGUCGCGCUUACGGUUAGACACACAGCUAUGUGUGCGCGUGCACCAACGAGCACGGAAUGAUAUGAAAGGGAUGGUUCGAAGGCAUUGGUAUUGCGAGGCGAGAGGUGAAAUUCUAUGACCCUCGCAAGACUCCCCGAAGCGAAAGCGUCUGCCUAGGACGUCUUCAUUAAUCAUGAACGAAAGUUGAAGGAUCGAAGGCGAUCAGAUACCGCCCUAGUUUUAACCGUAAACUAUACCAACCAUCAAUCCGUCGGAGCGUUCCCUUACUCCCGUUGACCGGCUAACGCUGCGAUGCGUGGACAAGUGUAAGCUCGAUGGGCAGCUCCUCCACUACGGAAAACCAGAGUGUUUCGGUUCCGGGGGGAGUCUGGUUGCAAAGCUGAAACUUAAAGGAAUUGACGGAAAGGCACCACCAGGCGUGGAGCUUGCGGCUCAAUUUGACUCAACACGGGAAAUCUCACCAGACCCAAACAUCUUUAAUGACUGACAGACUGAAAGCUCUUUCUCGAUAAAGUGGAUGGUGGUGCAUGGCCGUUCUUAGUUGGUGGAGUGAUCUGUCUGGUUAAUUCCGAUAACGAACGAGACUCUCCCCUGCUAACGAACCUUGUGUUCUUGUAGACAGUGUGAUUCGAAUCAUGGAUAUAUGUUCGCGAGAGCUUAUCCUGACGAUGUCCACUGAUCCUUGUUGCGUCGGGUUUUGGUACUUUGAUUGCGGUCGUGUCCGGGUUUUUCGUGAGAUUAACCUCUUUGCGAUGCCCGAGCGCGUGCUGCUUUUCUUGUCCAUCUCGGCUGCGGCUUGGAGUACGUUUCUUCUUAGAGGGAUUGUCGACUAAUAAUUCGAAAGAAACAGAGAGCAAUAACAGGUCUGUGAUGCCCUUAGAUGUUCUGGGCUGCACGCGUGUUACAAUGCCGGGAUCAACGGGUUAUUACACAUCUCGUGUCCUACUCCGAAAGGAGCGGGUAAACCUUUGAAAUCCCUGACGCGUGAAAGACAUGUUCUAUCCGCACUAUGGCUUGCUUGGGACUGGGGAUUGCAAUUAUUCCCCACGAACGAGGAAUGCCUUGUAGUGGCGAGUCACAGAGCUCGCUGCGACUCUGUCCCUGCCCUUUGUACACACCGCCCGUCGCUACUACCGAUUGAGUGUACCAGUGAGAUGCUUGGACUGGCGAACCGAUGUCGUAAGACUCGGCGUACGACACAAAGAGACUCGAACUGGUGCACUAGAGGG